AGAGCCGACAAUCAAAUUGUCAGUUAUCAGUGUGUAGUUCAUGCCUGAAAAACAAGACAUGGAUCAUCAGAAUAAUUGAUCAACAUAUCAAGAAGAGGUGGCAUUGUCUUGAAAGAUGAAGUGCUGAAAUGUAGAAGUGGACAACUAGGAAUACAAAUGUUUGCAAAAUGCAGUACCAGACCAGGUCUAUAAACUUGUUCUCUUGAUGAUACUAUGUUUAGGGAUAAAUGAACAUAUGGAGCAUAGUUCCUAGCUUGAGAAUAAUGGCAAAGAUUGCUGUAAUAUAUAUACACAUUAUAGAAUGUUUUGGGGAAAUUUUCAAA
Molecule: long non-coding RNA, 323 nt
Organism: Gossypium arboreum
Lineage: Eukaryota; Viridiplantae; Streptophyta; Magnoliopsida; Malvales; Malvaceae
Exons: 2
Source: RefSeq, a predicted model, not a curated record